This 2609-nucleotide long non-coding RNA is filed under the name Homo sapiens (human). RNAcentral's name for it is "HSALNT0099644". Lineage: Eukaryota; Metazoa; Chordata; Mammalia; Primates; Hominidae. The record is from RNAcentral.
GGUAAGAUCCUGGCCCAAGCUGGCCCAAAGCACCACUCACUGGCUACUGGGACUGGUUGAGGGAGUGGAAACCUGACCAAGGCCCUACCCCAGGCCAUUCCAGAUGGAGUUGAAAGAGAAAACAGUUUUCCUCCAAGUGGCAAGACUGAAAGGGGCAUGUGUGCCCUGUCACCGGCCCCGUCCCCAGCAUCUCCUCCUGCCCUGUCCCCCUCACAGCUCUGGCACUCCAAGUGUCAUCUCAGUGGAAGGGUUUCCUGACUCCUCCCCUGGUGGGGGCUGUCCCUCUUCUGUGCUCCUCCAUCACCCUUGCUAUAACACAUGAUAGGUGUUCAAUCAACAUUUUCUGCAGGGAGAGGGAGGGGAGCAGGGCUGAUACAUUUAUUUUUCAAGGACUUGCAUACUAAUAAGAAUAAAGGUAAUACCACAGAUGCCAGUUCAGAACAAAGAAAUUAUCUGGUCACACUAGGCAGCUUGUCUCUCUUCUGAAUAUAGAGAUAUGUAUAUCAUCUUCUGAAAUCAACUCCUUUUUGCAGAAAUGACUUAUUUGCAUUAAAAAUGACUUAUCCCACAUCGUUCCACAUCAUGUUGCACUUGGUUACCUGCAUACAGCAGUGAAGUACAACAGAACCCCAAUUUUUUAUUACUUUAAAACAAUUUUUUUAGAGACAGGGGUCUCACUAUGUUGCCCAGGCUAGAGUGCAGUGGAUUACCACGACUGAGCAGACUCUGUGGGCGCCCUCAUACCACAUGCUGCAGGCAACCACAGCUAGGAUCUUCCUUUUCCUUUCUCCCUUACCGCUGGCACCCAGGACCACAAAAUUCAUUAAAGAAAUGUUUCUCACUGCUUGUGAAUUUGUUUUCCUUUCAGGCAAUGUGAUGACAGGCUAGGUUCUUAUGCUUUAACAGCCCAUCAUGGGAAUUUUUAACUUAAGCAAUUAUAAAAUAAAAAUGUACUGACGCUAAAGAUUCAUUUAUAAACCUGUCGCUUUAAUCUUUCUUCAUGACUUGUUGGUGUAAUUAGGCAGCUAUAUAGUCACAUAAAAUUUCACGGAAAAAUUAUAUGCUUACUAGUUGUUGGUCAUGAAACAACUUAUAACAUUGGACUUCACGUUUAUUCUCAGACUAAAAAUCUAAAUGAUAGCGAAAUUUAAUAAAACUUCUUGGAAGGCUUACAGAUAAUUUUUACUUUGUAAAGCAUGUGCAUGCUUUGUAAAGCUUUCUCAUGCUUCAGUAAAUCAGAAGUAAUGAUGGGGGUACACAUUUUCUUACUUAAAACUUAAUACUGGGAACAAGAGAACUAGCACGUUGCUACAGUCUCAUCAACAACUCUGAAAAGGCAACAAGCCAAUACAAACAAAUACAGUUUUCCAAAAAUACCUGAUAAUACUUCUAAAUUAAGAGCUGACUUCAAGGGAGUGGGGAAUAAGGGGAGAUUUCUUAAAGAAUAUAAAAUUAUAGCUAGACAGACACAUUAAAUUCUAGUGUUCUGUGGAGUGCUCUAUAGUUUAUCAUAUUAAGUAUUUCUCAAUUAGCUAGAAAAGAGGUUUUUAAAUGUUCCUAACACAAACAUACAAUAAAUGUCUGAGGUGACAGAUAUGCUAAUUACUCUGAUUUGAUCACUACACAUUGUUUCAAAACAUUACUAUGUACUCCAUAAAAAUGUGUCAAUUUUUUAAAAUCUUGUUAAAAAACUGAUUUCAACUUUAUUUUAAAAUAAUUUAGAAGCAUAGUAAUUUCUGGACGUCUAUUUAAUGAAAUGUAAAGAAAGAAUACCAAAUAUCUAACCAUUCAAAGUCAAAAAAUAACAUAGAUCCUACAGAUUGAGUCUAUUUGAAUAGGAGUAAUUUCUAAAAACAAUCAUUAGUUUACUACUUAUUCCUUUGCAUUCAUAUAGUAGCUUCCUAAUACUCAGGUUGAAAACAAGCUUGAUAAGAUCUACUAAUUAAAAUGGUAAAACUGGAACACUGUCCAGUUUUUAAUGUUAAAAUUUAAAAUCCCACAAACUCAAAAUAAAAUUACAAAAAACUAAGGCUGGGUAUACAUUUCUUCAUUUGCUGCUCUGACAUUCAUCAUAAUUAGAUACAGAUAGGAAAUUUUUCAGUCUCUGUAGUACAUACACCAAAUAGACAUGCAACUUGUUGUUGUUGUUCAAGUCUGAAAUUCUCUUUUCAGUUAAUAUAUUUACUGACCUCUUCUGGGACUCUCAUGAUUGAAGAGAAUGCCGUUCACUGCAAAGAGAUUAUACGCCUCACGGAAGUUCACCACAAUCCAAUAGGCAUAGAGUUUUGCUGCCCCUGUUGGAAUAAUUUUUUUUAAGCAAUGAAGUUUGUUGUAAAAGACAGUGAUUCUCACCAUCUUCAACAGUAACAUCUUGGCCGAAAUAAUAACUUGUAAUGCAUCCAAAUACAAAAAAGUAUCAAAACCCAAAGACGAAAUAAAGGUUAUUACACCUGUCAAUCAUGUUCACCAGGAAAUAUUUUAAGAAUUUCUUACUUUUGUAAUGCCAACAGUGCAUUAUUUGACAAUCGAAUUGAUUGAAUCUUUCUUAGAUCUUUUUCUCUCUCAUUCUCUCUCUCUAACUUUUGAGGAAUUAGAAUGGAAAAAAAUGA